GAAUUAUUCACAUGAAGGCAGCACAUAAAGGAAGGUGUGACAGUCCCUCAAAACAGACGUCUAUCACCAUCUACACUGGUUAGGUUAGUGAAUAAACAUAGCUAAGAGCAAACUAGUUUUACAGAACGAGGAAGUUUUACUGAGGCAGCUUGACUUCGACUGUUUACUGACACUGUAUUUUCUCCUGCACUCUGACUGACAGAAAAACGAUCUUGUCCAGAGAAAAGCAUCUGUAUGCUUAAAUGUGGAGAGACUAACGGUAACGUGACCUGGAGCAGAGAUGUGGGUGGAAAAAGGGACAAGAUUCUCAGCGUCUACAAGGACACGGUUAUCAAACACAUCACUGAUCCAGACAGACGUUACAGCUCAGGAAGACGUCUGAUUCUGAGUAUAUUUAAUGUCUCGUUCUCAGACGCUGGUCGAUAUUACUGUAAUGAGAACGCAGUGGAGGUCAGUGUGACAUCAAAGACUCUGAAAAUCAUGAAAACGGGGGAUUGGUUGACGGUAACAGCUUUAGUAGCCGGGGGUUGUGCGCUUGUUUUAGUGUCACUUCUGGUUCUGUGGAGGUGUUUCUCCAAAAGGAAAGGUAGCACCGCCAAAGUACAGCACGAUUCAGCUGAAAAAGAAUCUUUGGAUGAGAUACAUGUUUAUGAGUCAAUUUACGAGACUCCCUCAGCUCCUCAACCAGCAGCUCCACAGCAGAUCCCAAAAGAUGGAUUUUACUAUCUGGCUACACAUCCAGGAAUCCAGAACAGGCAUUAAAACACACACACACACACACACACACACACACACACACACACACACACACACACACACACACACAAAUACACAACAUGUCAACAUGUGGAUCUUCCUUCAAAGAGUGUGAAGGUAAAGGCAGUUUCUGAAUAGAAGUGUGGGCUGUAGGAGUUGGGGGUGGGGUGGGACUACUGAUUGACUGAGUUGCUGUUGUCCAGAGAUGAUCGGCGUUGAUUUGUGAUUGUUGUUGUUUUAUAAUAAACAUCUGUACUUUUUACUUUCACUUUGUUCUAUAUCUAUGAACACAUGAAUAUGAUGAUUGUGAUGUCUGGGUUAGGGUUACUACUACUACUACCGGAAUUGUUGAGUUGACUGUUGAAUAAUUAUGGCUAAAUCAAUUAAACAACAGUUUGGAAUAUCUGAACUGUUGUGCACAUUAUUCUUUUCCUACUGUAUAUUUCAUAUGAGUAUUAAAAUAUAUGUUUUUUUGUUACAAUAGUCAAUUUCAUAAUGUCAACACUCACUAUACACUAUUUCAUUUAUGAGGCAAAAGGCAACCUGCAGUCAUACACCAAGUCCACAUAUUUCUAUCACAAAAUAUCGAGGCUUGAAUCCCUUGUAAAUCCCACCUUCCCAGCAUCUGAACUCUAACCUAGCUGAGACACGCUGCUCAAACUUUCUUAUCUAUCUGAUGCUACGUUCAUAGUCGCUGUACUAUGAAGUCGCCAGUAGGUGUUCCUGCUACCAGUUGUCAUAGUAACAUUUGUCAGUGGGUGGUGCGACUAACAUUCCACUUUUGACAAUUAAUCAGUUUUCUUGCUGCUAAAAUGGAACCUUCUGGAGGAAGAGGAUCUUAUAUAAAACUCACCAGUGUAUAUAUGCAUCACAUCCUAUGAGAUCGAGGAGAAGCAGUGUGUGCUCUUUGCCACUGAGGCCAUCUGUCUGUGGGAAAAGUGCAAUUAGCUUAGCUUAGCUUAGCUUAUGGCCUCCUCGGCCAUGGUCUCCGUGCUUCCUGGGUGAAGUGGCUGGCUUGGUGCUGCUUGUUCCCAGAGCCGGGCGUCUCAGCCUCAGGUCCUCGCUCCUUCUGGUAGCUUCUACUUAUCACGUGCACUCUCCUGUCUUCACUCCCAUUGGUAGUCUCUGCACCAAGUCACUCCACAUUUGCAUAAAGUCGCCUGCAUUUACCAGCUUUGUGACCAAAAUUUUAAAAAAUAAUUUAAUAAAACUAGCCACAGUAGGUUGAAGUUGGUUUGCAAAAAAAAAAAAGAAAAAAAAAGCUAACACUAAGCAACAUAAACAUAAUUUUAACAUUAACUUAGUUGACCUUACCUUAGGUGUGUUCAACUAGUACGAUGAGUUUUCACUCUUGCCUUGCUGCAACACGGUCCUUGCAGGAGCAGCACAUCUGAUGUAUCGUAUAUGAGGCCCAGCAAGGCCCAUGGAUGUGAGUCGCUGCCUGAUCUGAGUAGCGCACGCAUCUUGGACAACUAGGUACGGCAACACCACCUGGACCAACACGCAGAACUGCAGUAAACAUUUAUAGUUAUGAUUAUGAUCACAUUUGCUAAUGAUUAAUUCAGACGGCGUUGUGUGGUUUCAAUUCAAUUCAAAGCAUCAAACAAUUCGUUCAAAUAUCUGAACAAUACACAAUAACAGCAACAUUACGCAGACAAUGACAGACAAUCAUGCAACCGACAUUGACAAUUGUUGAAUUGAAUUUACAAUUCAUAUGUCGAUCUCCUGCACCUGUCUUCCACGUCCACAGAUGUCCAAAAAAACUCUUAGCAAGACGUGCAAAUCUACAUCUGAGAGGUGUCAUAAUCAGAUGUCCAGAGACUGAACCUGAUUUACACAUCUUGCAGACAUACAGAUAUGGUCCUGGACCAAGCGACGUAAUAUAGGCAUGAUCUACACAUCUGGCAGAUGUCUCAUGUUUGCUGGGAUACAGUAAAAAAAAAAAAAAUUAUAUAUGAAGUGCAUAGAAGUAAGCUGCAGCUCAGGAAGUGAUGUAAUUGUGUAUGUAGG
Molecule: long non-coding RNA, 2766 nt
Organism: Ictalurus punctatus (channel catfish)
Lineage: Eukaryota; Metazoa; Chordata; Actinopteri; Siluriformes; Ictaluridae
Source: Ensembl